AAUGUAAUGGACUGCUGGCCCUUGACUUUGCACUUCCAGCCUCCAGACUGUGAGAAGUCGGUUUCUGCUGUUUAUAAGUCCCCCAGGCUGUGGUAUUUUUGUUCUAGCACCUUAAACAGACUAAGACAUUGAAUACUUUUGAACUCUCUGUUGCUAUCCUAAUGCUAAGGUUUUUGAAUAGUUAUGCAAAGAGACUUUGGAGAACAUGAAAGUAGAGAGGAAGGCACUGAGAACAUCUGGGAGAAAGCCAACUUAAACCGACAGCGAGGGGCACCCGAGGGCUUUGGGGAGUGUUAGAGCACACCCGGACUGUGGGAGACCCCCUUCCUUGGGAUCGCGGCUGCAUUCUGCCUUCACACUGCCCGCCUGUGAUUUCCUGGCCUUCAGCUCCGCCCCUCAAAGCCGUCCUACCGGAGGCUCCAUGCUUGUGCUCAGGACCCGGAGGCUCUGCAUCCUAAUGACACCGUGAAUGGCCACCUAAUGACUUACCUCCCACUUCCUGGUGUGCAUGCUGUAACCUUGUGCAAGACCCCAGCUCACCCUCCCGGGGGCCAUCCUGGUCUGCGCUCCUCCAUCCAGGCGAACAGUCAUGCUAAAGAAAAUCCCACAGUCAUGGAGAAGACAUUACUUUCUAGAAUAGUCAAAAGAAUCUACAAACUAAAUAAUGCACAGAUUUAACAAGUCUACUUUAUACAUGUUCACUAAAAGAAAUCAGUUGUAUUUUCUAUAUAUAUUAGCAACAAAAAUUUGUACAAUAUGUCUUUCUAAAAUAUGCCAUUAGUAUUGUAACAAUGAUCAAAUACCCGGAUGAAAUC
Molecule: long non-coding RNA, 815 nt
Organism: Manis javanica (Malayan pangolin)
Lineage: Eukaryota; Metazoa; Chordata; Mammalia; Pholidota; Manidae
Source: RefSeq, a predicted model, not a curated record